RNAcentral lists this ribosomal RNA (430 nucleotides) under Aeromonas sobria. Its description in RNAcentral is "bacterial SSU rRNA". It matches the Rfam family "Bacterial small subunit ribosomal RNA", at positions 20 to 444 of the family's 1533-position model. The record is from RNAcentral. Lineage: Bacteria; Pseudomonadati; Pseudomonadota; Gammaproteobacteria; Aeromonadales; Aeromonadaceae.
UGGCUCAGAUUGAACGCUGGCGGCAGGCCUAACACAUGCAAGUCGAGCGGCAGCGGGAAAGUAGCUUGCUACUUUUGCCGGCGAGCGGCGGACGGGUGAGUAAUGCCUGGGGAUCUGCCCAGUCGAGGGGGAUAACAGUUGGAAACGACUGCUAAUACCGCAUACGCCCUACGGGGGAAAGGAGGGGACCUUCGGGCCUUUCGCGAUUGGAUGAACCCAGGUGGGAUUAGCUAGUUGGUGGGGUAAUGGCUCACCAAGGCGACGAUCCCUAGCUGGUUUGAGAGGAUGAUCAGCCACACUGGAACUGAGACACGGUCCAGACUCCUACGGGAGGCAGCAGUGGGGAAUAUUGCACAAUGGGGGAAACCCUGAUGCAGCCAUGCCGCGUGUGUGAAGAAGGCCUUCGGGUUGUAAAGCACUUUCAGCGAGG